AGAUUUUUGCAGUUUUUGGCUUUUAGAAUAUACUUUUUUCCGGGUCCGUAACAUAUCUGUAAGCACUCAGAAAGCUUCUGGUCCUGAGCCCUGUGUACUCAGGGGAUGAAUCCGCUCUCCUCAAGGACAACAGGGAAAUCAACCCACAAGCCACGGAAGAACAACCCGGUUUUAUGUACCAUGGAGCUCAGGUUCCAGUCUUACCCCCACACUGCUGCUCACUGUUCCCAGCAAUCGCUGGCCACUGUCCCAAGACAUCUGAGCCCUGGGCACCAACCUGUCACCUCCCGGAUCUCUGGGUCCAGGACGGACAGGAGGCCUGCAGGGAGCUGGAGACCACACUGGACCGAGAGAAGACGAAAGGGUGGCUGCCCGUGGCCAGAAGAACGGGAGGAAACGGAACGAAGGGUCACCCACACUUGGUCUACGCUUUGCUGAGACAUGAUUGACGUGUGCCUCGUUAUUUUUUCUAAUUGUUUUUUAAUGUUUUUUUUAUUUUUUUUAAUUUAUUAAAAAAAAAUUUUUUUUUACGUUUAUUUAUUUUUGAGACAGAGAGAGAGCAUGAACAGGGGAGGGUCAGAGAGAGAGGGAGACACAGAAUCGGAAACAGGCUCCAGGCUCUGAGCCAUCAGCACAGAGCCCGAUGCGGGGCUUGAACUCACGGACUGCGAGAUCAUGACCUGAGCUGAAGUCGGUCGCCCAACCGACUGAGCCACCCAGGCACCCCUAAUGUUUUUAUUUUUGACACAGAGAGAGAGGCAGAGUGCAAGCGGGGGAGGGGCAGAGAGAGAGGGAGACACAGAAUCGGAAGCGGGCUCCAGGCUCCGAGCUGCGGAUGCUGGGCUCGAACUCAUGAGCUGUGAGAUCAUGACCUGAGCCGAAGUCUGACGCUCAACCGCCUGAGCCACCCAGGCACCCCGCCUCAUUAUUUUUGGUGGAGACAAGAAUCCACCUACCUAGGGACGCUGAGGGCACAGGUGCUCUUUCCCCGUGUCCCUUCCAGCUAGGACGAGAGCACGUGACUGGGGUUCAG
Molecule: long non-coding RNA, 1033 nt
Filed under: Felis catus (domestic cat)
Lineage: Eukaryota; Metazoa; Chordata; Mammalia; Carnivora; Felidae
Description: lncRNA (ENSFCAG00000050877.1)
Source: RNAcentral